Molecule: ribosomal RNA, 847 nt
Filed under: uncultured Planctomycetales bacterium
Lineage: Bacteria; Pseudomonadati; Planctomycetota; Planctomycetia; Planctomycetales
Description: bacterial SSU rRNA
Rfam family: Bacterial small subunit ribosomal RNA
Source: RNAcentral
AUAGUUUGAUGCUGGCUCAGAACGAACGUUAGCGGUGUGGAUUAGGCAUGCAAGUCGUGCGCGAAAGCCUUCGGGCGAGUAAAGCGGCGGACGGGUGAGUAACACGUAACCAACCUACCCUCGAGAUCGGAAUAACCACUGGAAACGGUGGGUAAUGCCGAAUGGCCCCAGAGCUUGGCAUCAGGCAUUGGGUAAACGGUGGCUUCGGCUGCUGCUCGGGGAGGGGGUUGCGGCCUAUCAGCUUGUUGGUGGGGUAACGGCCUACCAAGGCAAUGGCGGGUAGCCGGUUUGAGAGGACGACCGGUCACACUGGGACUGAGACACUGCCCAGACUCCUACGGGAGGCUGCAGUCGAGAAUCUUCCGCAAUGGGCGAAAGCCUGACGGAGCGACACCGCGUGCAGGAUGAAGGCCUUCGGGUUGUAAACCGCUGUCACGCUAUAGGAAUGCCAUGUCGUUAAUAGCUUCAUGGUUGACCAAAGCGAGAGGAAGCACCGGCUAACUCCGUGCCAGCAGCCGCGGUAAGACGGAGGGUGCAAACGUUGUUCGGAAUUACUGGGCAUAAAGCGCACGUAGGCGGCUGAAUCAGUCCGUUGUGAAAGCCCUCGGCUCAACCGGGGAACUGCAAUGGAUACUGUUCAGCUCGAGGAUGGUUGGGGUGAGUGGAACUCCUGGUGGAGCGGUGAAAUGCGUAGAUAUCAGGAGGAACACCAGUGGCGAAGGCGACUCACUGGACCAUAUCUGACGCUGAGGUGCGAAAGCUAGGGGAGCGAACGGGAUUAGAUACCCCGGUAGUCCUAGCCGUAAACGAUGGGCACUAGGUAGGGGGGAAUACCUAUGGUCUUCCC